Molecule: ribosomal RNA, 524 nt
Filed under: uncultured bacterium
Lineage: Bacteria
Description: partial 16S ribosomal RNA
Rfam family: Bacterial small subunit ribosomal RNA
Source: RNAcentral
GACGAACGCUGGCGGCGUGCCUAAUACAUGCAGGUCGAACGAAGCUUUUUUAACUGGUGCUUGCACCGACUUAAACAACUGAGUGGCGAACGGGUGAGUAACACGUGGGUAACCUGCCCCAAAGCGGGGGAUAACAUUUGGAAACAGAUGCUAAUACCGCAUAACCACAGAAACCACAUGGUUUCUGUGUCAAAGAUGGUUUCGGCUAUCACUUUGGGAUGGACCCGCGGCGUAUUAGCUAGUUGGUAAGGUAAUGGCUUACCAAGGCAAUGAUACGUAGCAGACCUGAGAGGUGGAACGGCAACAUUGGGACUGAGACGCGGCCCAACCACCGACGCGAGGCAGCAGUAGGGAAUCUUCCACAAUGGACGAAAGUCUGAUGGAGCAACGCCGCGUGAGUGAAGAAGGUUUUCGGAUCGUAAAACUCUGUUGUCAGAGAAGAACGUGUGCGAGAGUAACUGUUCGUGCAGUGACGGUAUCUGGCCAGAAAGCCACGGCUAACUACGUGCCAGCCGCCGCAGUAA